This 124-nucleotide small RNA is filed under the name Marmota monax (woodchuck). The record is from RNAcentral. Lineage: Eukaryota; Metazoa; Chordata; Mammalia; Rodentia; Sciuridae.
GCCAGGCGUGGUGGCACACUCCUGUAAUCCCAGUGACUCGGGAGGCUGAGGCAGGAGGAACAUGAGUUCCAAGCCAGCCACAGCAAAAGUGAGGCACUAAGCAACUCAGGAGACCCUGUCUCUA